AUGGGACCCCUCUCCGGGCAGCCCCCUCCUCAAUCCCUGUGCCUUUCGUGCCCGGAGGAGCUGCCAGCCCCUUGGAGGGGGUGCAGAGGGACCACGCUUUGCUUCCUUGCCCCAUGGGGGUUGGCACCCACCCCCACGAACCUGCCAGCCCUUUCUGACUCCAGCCGGGCUUUGGGGCGCACCUUGGGAUUUGAGAAACAGCCGAGGAAUUUCCUGGGCUCCAGGGUGUCUCUGGCAGUGCGGAACGCUGCUCAUGGUGCUGCUUCUCAGCAGCCUCCUGGCCAACACCUCCAGCUCCCACCGCCCUGCCUGCCACUGCCACUGCGUCCUGGGGCUGCCCGCUUGCUGCCCCCCCCAUCUCAGCCUCAUGUUCCCUCUGCCCCCCAGCCACCAUCCUCCUCCUCUGCCCCAGGGGACCGUGCCAGCUCUGCACACCUGAAGUUAAAAAGUGCUGGUGCUCAGCUGCACCCACAUGUGCCGUUGUGGUGUCCAUGCUCCUCCUGGUGCCCCCAACCCCUCAGAAGGGUUUCCUCAGUGAGAAGGGAGCCACACAUCUUGGGUAAGGGGGCACCAACACACCGAGGUCCUUCACAGCCCUGCCAGAUGAAACCAGACCCACGGAGAGGUGUUGGGAGGCAUACGGAGCCCUCUGGACACCGAAGUGGCUUGGGGAUGGAUGGAUUUUGGGGCUGGUGCCUGCUCUGUGGGCCCCAGAGCCGAAGAGAGUGGCACCACCUCGUGCUUGUGGACGUGCUGGAAGAGUCACAUGAGAUGGAGCGAACCCCAGGGCGCAGACAUCGCUGACAGCCAUCCGGUGCCCAUGGCCGUCAUGUUGACGACACCGUGCCGGACUGCCAGGCGUGUCUCGCCUCCCGUCCAGGCUGCAGGACUCUUUCCCAAGUGCUCUGGCUUUCGGCAGAGCCGGUUGCCCAAGCGGCCCACGCGGCCCUGCCAAGCUGUGUGCCACGGCCCUUGCGCAACGGUGUUGAUAAACACUGCGGGGCAUGCCAAGUCCUGCGAGACAACAGCUGAUGUGCUGGGCUGAGGGAGUGCCCGGCACAGCAAGAGGAAUUUUCCACUCUUCUCCAGAAAGUGCAUCUCACCCCGCUGGGGAUUGUCCCCAGCAAGGUGCAGACCUGUUUACUGGUGUCCCUGUCUGGCCCUAUAAGCCCUGCCAUGCAGCCCCACGCACGGGGCAAGGCAAGGGGUGGCUGCAUUGCCUUGGGCACGGUGGCACCCCCAGAGGGCUGGGUUGGGAUGCCGCCGUACCCAAGGUGACCCAAGCAUCCCCUUGGGGCCCUGGCUCUGCCUUCUCCUUCUGCUGUGUCUUCUGGCACGUUGGAAACCUCUCAAAGAGCAGCGGGUUUGCAGGAUGAAAAGGGUGUGCUGCAUCACGUGCUGGCUGAUACAUGGCAAUUAGCGUGCUAAAACCCAAUUUAAUUUGACCGGCUCACGUCCUGGAGCUGCAGGUCACAUCGUCUGCCGUGCAGCCCGAACGUGCUCGUAACAGCCAGGCUCUGCUGCAGGCAGGCUGGGCUCAUCAAGGAGGAGCGCACGGGAUGUUUGGGAAGCCUGCUGGCCCCUGCAGAUAGCCAGGGGCAAGCGGGGCACCCACAGCUGCUGGGCAGCAAGGAAAUGGGAUUAUCUGGGGCAACAUUUGUAAGUCAGCAGCUGCUGAGCCCUGGCAUGAGGGGCUCAGCAGUGUGGGGAAAGCAGCUG
This 1719-nucleotide long non-coding RNA is filed under the name Anas zonorhyncha (Eastern spot-billed duck). Its description in RNAcentral is "lncRNA (ENSAZOG00000019216.1)". Lineage: Eukaryota; Metazoa; Chordata; Aves; Anseriformes; Anatidae. The record is from RNAcentral.